RNAcentral lists this ribosomal RNA (253 nucleotides) under uncultured bacterium. Its description in RNAcentral is "partial 16S ribosomal RNA". It matches the Rfam family "Bacterial small subunit ribosomal RNA", at positions 524 to 776 of the family's 1533-position model. The record is from RNAcentral.
UACGUAGGGGGCAAGCGUUGUCCGGAUUUAUUGGGCGUAAAGAGCGUGUAGGCGGCCAGGUAGGUCGGUUGUGAAAACUGGAGGCUCAACCUUCAGAGGUCGACCGAAACCAUCUGGCUAGAGUCCGGGAGAGGAGAGUGGAAUUCCAGGUGUAGCGGUGAAAUGCGUAGAUAUCUGGAGGAACACCGGUGGCGAAGGCGGCGUCCUGGACCAACACUGACACUGAGGAGCGAAAGCCAGGGGAGCAAACGGG